UAAUUGGCUUUCUCGAAGACCAUAUUCUCAUGUCAUCCUACAUUUAUGUGGUUCAAAAUAAAGCCAAAAGCAAUUUUUGUAACGACGGUCUCUGAAUAUCUUGAUUUUGUGAUAAUUCAGUAACUUUUACGUGCAAUUACAAAA
Ceratitis capitata (Mediterranean fruit fly) is the source of this 144-nucleotide small nucleolar RNA. The record is from RefSeq and is a predicted model, not a curated record. Lineage: Eukaryota; Metazoa; Arthropoda; Insecta; Diptera; Tephritidae.